Molecule: ribosomal RNA, 546 nt
Filed under: uncultured archaeon
Lineage: Archaea
Description: bacterial SSU rRNA
Rfam family: Archaeal small subunit ribosomal RNA
Source: RNAcentral
AAUGGAAUACCUAAAAUUUCCAUAGCAAACUGCUCAGUAACACAUGAUCAACUUGCCCUAUAGAGAAAAAUAACCUCGGGAAACUGAGGAUAAUAUUUCAUAGUUGAAUAGGCUUGGAAAAGUUUUUCAAUAAAAGGGAUAAAAAAAAUGGUUUUUAUCUGCUAUAGGAUAGGAUCGUGGACGAUUAUGGUCGUUGGUGAGGUAACGGCUCACCAAGCCGAUAAUCGAUAGGGGCCGUGAGAGCGGGAGCCCCGAGAUGGGUACUGAGACAGCGACCCAGGCCUUACGAGGCGCAGCAGGCGCGGAACCUCCACAAUACACGAAAGUGUGAUGGGGUUACCCAAAGUGUUCAAUUUUGAACUGUGGUAGGUGAGUAAUGUUCCCUACUAGAAAGGAGAGGGCAAGGCUGGUGCCAGCCGCCGCGGUAAAACCAGCUCUUCAAGUGGUUGGGAUAUUUAUUGGGCUUAAAGUGUCCGUAGCCGGUUUAGUAAGUUCCUGGGUAAAUCGGGUAGCUUAACUAUCUGUAUGCUAGGAAUACUGCUAUAC